This 553-nucleotide long non-coding RNA is filed under the name Mytilus galloprovincialis (Mediterranean mussel). Lineage: Eukaryota; Metazoa; Mollusca; Bivalvia; Mytilida; Mytilidae. The record is from RNAcentral.
UUCUUUGUUCUUUUAAAUAUUAAUUUGAUAUUUGGUAUAUAGUUUGAUCAUGAAAACAUAUAGAUCAAGUUUGAAUUUUGUUCUGAUCUGAUGAUUUAGUCGUCUAGAGUUAUGGUCCAUAUCAUAUGUUAUAGUACUAUGUUAAACCCUAUUUCUGUACAAAGGGAGAUAACUCAUUUUGUAAAAAAGAUUUUUAAAAGUAGCUAUAUGACAUUUUGGAUUUUUUUGGGGAUGGGGGAAAGUAGGCGAGAUGGUGACAUCCCAUUAGUCCGACAACCAUUAUUCCGACAGCCCAUUUCUCCGACAGCCCACUAUUCUGACAGCCCAUUACUCUGACAGCCCAUUAUUCCAACAGCUCAUUAUUCCGACAGCUCAUUAUUCCGACAGCUCAAAAUUUCGUAAUGCAUCUGUCUUAUGUGUAUGGGUAAAUUUUCUCUAAAAAGAUCAACUCCACUCUCUAUACUUUUAGUGGUUGUCCAUUUUGAUAUCAAUUAUUCUUUUCAUGUGGGAUAUUUGUUUCAGUAUAUUAUAUAACUAUACAAAUCCUUGUUAU